CAUGCUAACUGGCAUGGAAGGGGAUGUAGCUCAGUGGUAGAGCGCAUGCUUUGCAUGUAUGAGGCCCCGGGUUCAAUCCCCGGCAUCUCCACUCCUAUUCUUUUUUUUUUUGUGAGAAGCACUUUCUGUCAUAUUCCUUGAAACCGUCGUAACAAACCGAUCGCGAUGAAUACACUGACUGAUCCGACACUGAGACGGAAACGAGCCCUCAUCUGUGGCCGCGGCAGGACUGUGAAGAACACGACCCAUCGGAGAGUUCUGACCGGUUGAACCGGCUUUCUCCUGCCCGCUCGUCGGCAAACAACCGCGUCAACUCCGGGAGGAGAAGCGGGUACAGCAAGUUGUGCAUGAAGACGUCCAGGACCUGGAGGUUGACUGCCACGGACCAGAGCACCGAGACCGGACGAUGCCCGUCAACGGCUCGAGAAGCAGGUCAGCAGAGGACCAGGACCAGUGCCUAAGAGUCGACGACAGCACAGCCUGACCCGUCAGCCGACAGACCUGCUUUGACACUAGAACUAGGAAACCCUGUGCAGACAGUAUCUUCAUUGUUGUACAUAUGUUGUUUAUGCUAAUAUUAUAAUAUAUA
Molecule: long non-coding RNA, 589 nt
Organism: Scophthalmus maximus (turbot)
Lineage: Eukaryota; Metazoa; Chordata; Actinopteri; Pleuronectiformes; Scophthalmidae
Exons: 3
Source: RefSeq, a predicted model, not a curated record